UGGAAGCUUAUCUGAGCAGAAGGCCCAUCUGAAACCUUGGAGGUUUGCCCAACCCUGGUUUCCUGUCUAACCGAAAGCAGAGAGGCCCAGACGCGGAGCCAAAAGGUUCACACUUUGUGUGAUCGGCAACCUAAAUUUGUGGAUUGGACCAGAAAGGCCAAGUGCAGCCGGCAGCCGGGGCCCUACAGGCAGAGACGCCACUCCAGUUGGUGCAACAGUACGAGGAAGAACUGACAGAAAGCGUUAGAAACGAAGUAACAAUGCAGCAAGGCAAACGGACUUCCUAACUGGCAGAGAAGGGGCGACGGAGCCCCCGGGAUUGUUUGUAUCAAUUCUUCUGCUAUCCUUGGCACCCAGAAAGGAUCCUUUGCGAUCUGUGCUGGGAGCUAGCGUGCCCUGAGCGCCUGCCACAUAGGGGAUACUACAGCGAGCACCUUACACGUAUCAUUGUAACAAUGAGUGAUCAUAGCAGACGUGGCGGAAAAGGCCGAUGUGCAGCUUCAGGAUUUCCAUGAGGGUGGCAUUCGGGCACAGUCUUUGCUAACAAGGAGCCACCUCUGUGUUUAGAGUUGCUCCAUCUCUGGCUUUUUUUAAAUCCCAGUACAAGGUCAGCUUGAGUCAAGAUGCCUCCUUGCUGCUGAGCUGUGGCCGUGACCACAGGGACAAGCCCAUCAGCCGCCCUAGGAAGCAGAACCCCUGAUGCCUCCGAGGCCCUCCAGCAGGUGUGUUCAUGGACUUUCUAACCCAGAGAUCCGAUGUAUCUGAACUGUCGUAUGAAUAAGCAGGACACGAGAGAGAGACAGAGCACGAGCAGGAAGAGCAACA
Molecule: long non-coding RNA, 825 nt
Organism: Ailuropoda melanoleuca (giant panda)
Lineage: Eukaryota; Metazoa; Chordata; Mammalia; Carnivora; Ursidae
Exons: 3
Source: RefSeq, a predicted model, not a curated record